This 67-nucleotide transfer RNA is filed under the name Taenia hydatigena. RNAcentral's name for it is "tRNA-Asp". Lineage: Eukaryota; Metazoa; Platyhelminthes; Cestoda; Cyclophyllidea; Taeniidae. The record is from RNAcentral.
GUGAUUUUAGUUUAAAUAAAAUAAUGAUUUGUCUAGUCAUAGNNNAUUAAUUGAUAAUCAAGUCACU